This 2757-nucleotide long non-coding RNA is filed under the name Strongylocentrotus purpuratus (purple sea urchin). RNAcentral's name for it is "uncharacterized LOC115920975". Lineage: Eukaryota; Metazoa; Echinodermata; Echinoidea; Camarodonta; Strongylocentrotidae. The record is from RNAcentral.
UGAGACCGUCAUAACUACAAGUUCACCGACAUCCCAUUGAAACGUGUGUUAAACUUAAUACACACAUUUCAAUGGGAUGUCGUUGGACUUGUACUUAUGACGGUUUCAUGAAACGCUGCCCAGAUCCCCGACACCGAACACCUGGGGAGGUUUCACGAAACCGUCAUUAAGUCUAACUUUUUAGACAUCGUAUUGAAACGUGUGAUAGAGAUCUAACACGUGUUUCUACCAAAUCUCCACGAGCUUAGACUUAUGGCAGUUUCGAGAAACUAGCACUCGCUCUGAAUCUGGCGCAUCCACGGCCACGCUGGAAGCUCGGAUCUGACCGCCUGCGAUGCAUGCCCCGGACGCGACGGCAGCCCGCUCUCGAGCUAACUCUCCAUCGCAUCGUGCAGCUGUCUUUCUUCUCUUUCACGAACACGGUUGCCCGACUGAAACAACUAGACCACAUUAGUAUCCUGACAUCAAGAUAGGUCUCUAUUAUGUGCCCAUCCGUCUGAUUAAGUCUUCUUUGGAGCAAACUGUCAGACAUUUGCGGUAGUAUACAGCUGAAAUGGAAUUUCCGUUCAACCAAACAGUAUACUUCAAGGCUAUUUCUCAGCGACGAGGGUUAGCUCCAGGUAGCAGUAGCAGGCUGGAAGUAACACACAUGUGCAGUGUUUCAGUCGAAAACGAAUACCACCCAUUCAAAAUCGGUUAUAGGAUCUUGUCCAUAUGUCCAUAUUUUUGUAUGCAUGUGAAACAUGGACCAUGACAGCAGACAUUAAAAGAAGGAUACAGGCACUGGAGAUGAAAUGUUUCCGCAAACUCCUCAGUAUCUGGUAUAGAGAUCACAUAACCAACGAGGUAGUGAAAAUCAGAAUUGGAAACACCAUAGGGCCGUAUGAAGACCUCCUGACUUCAGUGAAAAGAUGCAAAGUAAAGUGGUAUGGGUAUGUCACAUGAUCAUUUGGACUGGCCAAGACUAUUCUACAUGGAACAGUACAAGGAGGGAGACGAAAAGGCAGGCAGAGGAAACGAUGGGAAGACAACAUUAACGAGUGACCUUGACUGAAACAUCAUACUUCGUAAAGCCAAGAACCACGAGGAGUGGAGGAAGCUGGUAGUAUAAAUCUUCAGUGGUGCCCCAAGGGUCAGCCAGACUGUGGGAUAGGUGAAGGUGAAGGUGAAGGAAGCUAAGAAUCAGAUAGUUAGACAUUAUAUUGGAUCAUUUAUCCUUUCCUUCAAAAGGAAUGUUGCUUUAUACUGUAGCACAUAAACAAUGCUUUUUAAUUGGCAAUAUUUCAGUUCAGUACGCUUGUUAUUAAUUUCAUCAAACAUUAAAAUGUAAAAGGGAGAAACACUGUCAUUUGAAAAUCAAAAUGUAAGUCAUAAAAAUUUCACUGUCUAACUAUCUGAAUCUUGUCAGGAUCCAUGUACGAGUUAGUGCAAUUCUUUUCUCUUCACUACAACCGCAUUGAUUUACUUUAAUAGCAUGUUACUAGGUACAUCAAUUGAUGAGAAAAAGCAGCAAAACGCUUUAAAUUUGUUGUAGUCUUAAAAUUAAAGUUGGAAGUUUCCUAAAAAGGGAAUUUUAGAACACUCCUUCAACUGACAUGCACGGAUGUUAUACUUAUGAAUUUCCAUACAUUAAUGUCUUUGUAAUGCAUGUUACCAAACAAAAAAAAGUAUCAUCAACCAUUCUUGUCAUUUCCUGUGCAAUUAUUUUCACAUCCUGGCUUAACAGUACAUAAACAGUGCUCUUUUAUUUUCAAUAUUUCAGAAAAAUGCAUUUGCAUUAUGAUACAUGCAGGUAUAGUUGGUCAAGUAAGAAUAUAUUUACAGCAUGCUCACUAUGAAUUGAUUAAAUCGCCAUUGAAUCUAAAAGGUAUGUUAUACCUCAUUGUAUAUUCAGAAGGAAAAAGUGUGAGGAUAGCUUUAAAAAAAAAAAAAAUCAUGAGUAUCCAUAAUGAUGUGAAUAUGUACAUGUUUGUUUGUUGCAUAUGAUUCUUCCUUGGUAUCAAAGCUGUAAUAAUUGCAUAUUUAUGAUUCAGCAUAAUACUUUGUUCAUUACAAAAAAAAAUAUGUCAUAAUUUUCCAAAACGGUAGUGUAAAGAAUAAUGUAAGUUUUCAAAUGAGAUACUAUUUUGUCCCCAGAUGAAAUAAGUAAUGGAUCUUUUUUGUUAAAUGUCAGCAAAUGAUCUAAAUGAACAUGUGUUCGGGUAUAUCAAAUCUUGUACAUGUAGUUUCUAUAGCUAAUAUAGUUUGGAGGACUUAAAGAUAGAAAAACUGCUGAUUGAUUAAUUACCAUUGUUUGUAUUGUUCACUAUAACCAGCAAGUAAAGGGACAUUUAGUAGAUGCCAAGAAAGUAUUUCCAAAGCAAUUACAUUUCUCUUAUCCUGUAAUGUAUUUUUUGCGUCAAUAAAAGCAAAUGUGAGGGUUGUCCACAUAACAUCACAACUACAGAACAGUUUAAUUGAAAUUAACAUACAUAUUACAUGUAUAUAUGUGUAUUAUGGAAUAACUUAGAAUAUUUCAUAAUUUGUUAUUAUUAUCCAGUUCAUUACAUUUUUACCAAUGUAUUUCUUCAAUAUUUCUACUUUUCCUCAGAGCAUAUGCUGUGAACUAAUGGAUAUUCCUUGUCAGUUCCAUCAUGUUAUGUCAAUGGGCUUACACUGUAUGCGUGUACAUGUCCUUUUUGCAAUGUACAUGUGCUACGAAAAUGUCAACAAUAUUGUUUGAGAUAUAAAAUAUAGAGUUAACAAGUGAAUUAUUCA